AUGAAGAGGAGGUUGAAGUGCUGGCUGAAAAUGCAAGAAAUCAGAGAGGCUGCUACCAGAAAAUGUGUGAUCGGAGGGAGAGAGCGCCGGCGGUUUGAGCCGGAAAUUAAGGGAGGUGGUACGGUGGUCAAGGGCGGAGGAGGUGGUGGCUCCGGUCACUGGCGGUGGUGGCUAGCAGAAUCGGAUCGAUGGAAGAAAAGAGGGAAGCAGAUUUGA
Molecule: non-coding RNA, 216 nt
Organism: Vicia faba (fava bean)
Lineage: Eukaryota; Viridiplantae; Streptophyta; Magnoliopsida; Fabales; Fabaceae
Source: the annotation of a GenBank genome assembly